Molecule: transfer RNA, 77 nt
Filed under: Alphaproteobacteria bacterium
Lineage: Bacteria; Pseudomonadati; Pseudomonadota; Alphaproteobacteria
Also listed under: 2 other names
Description: tRNA-Ile
Rfam family: tRNA
About the family: Transfer RNA (tRNA) molecules are approximately 80 nucleotides in length.
Source: RNAcentral
GGGCCUGUAGCUCAGUUGGUUAGAGCGGGCGGCUCAUAACCGCUUGGUCGUAGGUUCGAGUCCUACCGGGCCCACCA